RNAcentral lists this ribosomal RNA (417 nucleotides) under uncultured microorganism. RNAcentral's name for it is "bacterial SSU rRNA". It matches the Rfam family "Bacterial small subunit ribosomal RNA", at positions 9 to 429 of the family's 1533-position model. The record is from RNAcentral.
GAGUUUGAUCCUGCUCAGAUUGAACGCUGGCGGCAUGCCUUACACAUGCAAGUCGAACGGUAACGGGUCCUUCGGGAUGCCGACGAGUGGCGAACGGGUGAGUAAUAUAUCGGAACGUGCCCAGUAGUGGGGAGUAACUGCUCGAAAGAAGCAGCUAAUACCGCAUACGACCUGAGGGUGAAAGGGGGGGAUCGCAAGACCUCUCGCUAUUGGAGCGGCCGAUAUCAGAUUAGCUAGUUGGUGGGGUAAAGGCCUACCAAGGCAACGAUCUGUAGUUGGUCUGAGAGGACGACCAGCCACACUGGGACUGAGACACGGCCCAGACUCCUACGGGAGGGCAGCAGUGGGGAAUUUUGGACAAUGGGCGCAAGCCUGAUCCAGCAAUGCCGCGUGCAGGAAGAAGGCCUCGGUUGUAAC